RNAcentral lists this long non-coding RNA (458 nucleotides) under Capsella rubella. Its description in RNAcentral is "long non-coding RNA (CRUB_LNC003894)". The record is from RNAcentral. Lineage: Eukaryota; Viridiplantae; Streptophyta; Magnoliopsida; Brassicales; Brassicaceae.
CGGGGAUUGCCCGUGCUAACACCCCCGAACUUUUAGAAAGAACAAAACACGUAUGACGUUUAGACGUUUGAUUGUCGGGUGUCACGUAUGAUGUUCGUAAUCAGUGGAGAAAAGUUUCCAAAACACGUUCGUUCGCUUAAAUCGAUCGAAUCAGAGUAUUUUACUUCACGAUCAAGGCCUAAGGUGUUAAAAUCCGUACUAAGAUCGUGAGUUGUGUUAGCCCGGAUAGGACUAAUAUACUAUUGAUGGCACUUUCGGUUUUUUUUUUUUUGACUAAAAUCAUUUCUUACUUAUAUAGUAUCGUACUUAAUUAUUACCAAAUCACAUAUAGCUUCUGGGGCCAUUUAGAAAACUAUAGAUAAUAAAAAUUAUCGAGUUUUAGCAAAUGACCUGUAAAAAUCAUCUAAUCUAGCCGUCCUAGAUCACCGCACUACUAAGUAUACGAUUCUCUUAGAAUC